GUGUCAGCAGCCGCGGUAAUACGUAGGGUGCGAGCGUUAAUCGGAAUUACUGGGCGUAAAGCGUGCGCAGGCGGUUUCGUAAGACAGACGUGAAAUCCCCGGGCUCAACCUGGGAACUGCGUUUGUGACUGCGAGGCUAGAGUACGGCCGAGGGGGGUAGAAUUCCCAGUGUAGUAGUGAAAUGCGUAGAGAUGUGGAGGAAUACCGAUGGAGAAGGCAGCCCCCGGGGGUAGUACUGACGCUCAUUCACGAAAGCGUGGGGAGCAAACAGGAUUAGAUACCCUGGUAGUCCACGCCCUAAACGAU
This 306-nucleotide ribosomal RNA is filed under the name uncultured bacterium. RNAcentral's name for it is "bacterial SSU rRNA". It matches the Rfam family "Bacterial small subunit ribosomal RNA", at positions 505 to 810 of the family's 1533-position model. The record is from RNAcentral.